AUCCAGAUGACGAGUCCCAAAUGCGACGAAACACGCGUCCUGGAU
Schistosoma curassoni is the source of this 45-nucleotide non-coding RNA. The record is from Rfam. Lineage: Eukaryota; Metazoa; Platyhelminthes; Trematoda; Strigeidida; Schistosomatidae.